RNAcentral lists this ribosomal RNA (474 nucleotides) under uncultured bacterium. RNAcentral's name for it is "bacterial SSU rRNA". It matches the Rfam family "Bacterial small subunit ribosomal RNA", at positions 28 to 507 of the family's 1533-position model. The record is from RNAcentral.
GACGAACGCUGGCGGCGUGCCUAACACAUGCAAGUCGUGCGGUCUCGCCUUAAGCGAAAAGGCCUUCGGGCUUUGAAGCAAAGGCGAGAUAGCGGCGGACGGGUGAGUAACGCGUGGCUUAUCUGUCCCAGGGAGGGGGAUAACGUCUGGAAACGGGCGCUAAUACCCCAUAUGCCGAAAGGUAAAAAGGAGAGAUCCGCCCUGGGGUGAGGCCGCGUCCUAUCAGCUCGUUGGUGAGGUAACGGCCCACCAAGGCUAUGACGGGUAGCCGGCCUGAGAGGGCGGCUGGCCACACUGGGAUUGAGAUACGGCCCAGACUCCUACGGGAGGCAGCAGUGGGGAAUAUUGGGCAAUGGGGGAAACCCUGACCCAGCGACGCCGCGUGGAGGAAGGAGCCCUUCGGGGUGUAAACUCCUGUUGUAAGGGAAGAAGACAGUGACGGUACCUUACGAGGAAGCCCCGGCAAACUACGUG